AUGAAUGCUCAGCUAAAAACGUCUGAAAUGUCUUACUAUAGUUUUGAUUCAAUUGACGAUAGCACUGCUAAUCAUUCCACUCUUGAAGCAUUAUACCCAACAGAGUUUCUAAACACAAUUCCGAUGCCCGGACUUCCUGACCAUAAGUUGCACUUGAAGAUUGGUGUUCCAAUUAUGCUUUUGCGCAAUCUUGAUCCAUCAAGGGGACUUUGUAAUGGUACUAGGCUGAUUGUCACCCAAUUGACAAAUCGUGUGAUUGAAGGUGAAAUCAUAACAGGGAAGGCUACAGGUUCAAAAGUAUAUAUCCCACGCAUUGUCACAACAUCAACUCACUCAAGGUGGCCCUUCAAAUUGAGACGGCGCCAGUUCCCCGUGCGCCUUUCAUAUGCAAUGACCAUAAACAAGAGUCAAGGGCAAAUCUUAAAUAGAGUUGGAGUCUAUUUGCCAUCUCCAGUGUUCUCUCAUGGUCAAUUAUAUGUAGCAUUUUCCAGAGUUACUUCACCAAAGGGGUUGAGAGUUCUAAUCGAAAAUAGUCCAGUUUUUUAUGAGAAUUGCACCCAUAAUGUAGUCUAUGCUGAAGUUUUUAGUCAAAUUAAUAGACUAUGA
RNAcentral lists this ribosomal RNA (606 nucleotides) under Triticum aestivum (bread wheat). RNAcentral's name for it is "partial small subunit ribosomal RNA". The record is from RNAcentral. Lineage: Eukaryota; Viridiplantae; Streptophyta; Magnoliopsida; Poales; Poaceae.